This 147-nucleotide small RNA is filed under the name uncultured Lawsonibacter sp. RNAcentral describes it as "M-box riboswitch (ykoK leader)". It matches the Rfam family "M-box riboswitch aptamer (ykoK leader)", at positions 11 to 156 of the family's 169-position model. Rfam says of the family: M-box riboswitch, also know as ykoK leader is described as a metaloregulatory RNA that sense divalent metals and function as a genetic control element of genes related to divalent metal transport in bacteria. It was first reported upstream of the B.subtilis ykoK gene and genes with related functions in other bacteria. Lineage: Bacteria; Bacillati; Bacillota; Clostridia; Eubacteriales; Oscillospiraceae. The record is from RNAcentral.
AUCCGGUAGGUAAGGCUACCGCAGGGAUAUGGGUCACUGCCGCAAAGAGAUGGAGACAUCUUCCGCUGGUUUGAGCAGGUUCUGUCGAACAAUAAGGCAGAAUCUAAUGUGACUUCACCGCCCUGCGAUGCUAAAGCUUGAACGGUG